CCUACGGGAGGCAGCAGUGGGGGAUAUUGCACAAUGGGGGGAACCCUGAUGCAGCGACGCCGCGUGGGUGAAGAAGCGCCUCGGCGCGUAAAGCCCUGUCAGCAGGGAAGAAAAUGACGGUACCUGAAGAAGAAGCCCCGGCUAACUACGUGCCAGCAGCCGCGGUAAUACGUAGGGGGCAAGCGUUAUCCGGAUUUACUGGGUGGAAAGGGGGCGCAGACGGCGAUGCAAGCCAGGAGUGAAAGCCCGGGGCCCAACCCCGGGACUGCUCUUGGAACUGCGUGGCUGGAGUGCAGGAGGGGCAGGCGGAAUGUCUGGUGUAGCGGUGAAAUGCGUAGAUAUCAGGAGGAACACCGGUGGCGAAGGCGGCCUGCUGGACUGCAACUGACGUUGAGGCCCGAAAGCGUGGGGAGCAAACAGGAUUAGAUACCCCUGUAGUC
This 440-nucleotide ribosomal RNA is filed under the name uncultured bacterium. Its description in RNAcentral is "partial 16S ribosomal RNA". It matches the Rfam family "Bacterial small subunit ribosomal RNA", at positions 338 to 795 of the family's 1533-position model. The record is from RNAcentral.